AAUCACCGACGUCCGGCUGUUUUGGGACGAGCUCUCUUAUAAAGGGGGAUUUAUGGUGCCAGUGAAAAUGAUUGAGGGGAGGGAUCUGUCUCCCCCUCUUCAGUCUCUGCGUCAGUGUCGGGAAGUCUGGCCUCCAACCACACCGGGAAGGACACCAGUUAUCACCUGCACACUCGUGAACUCGCAGCUUUGACAAAGUGCUGCAUUCAACACAAGCUUGAUGUUUAACCGGCCCAAUUCCUGUUUGUCAGGACACUCGACAGUGAACGGAAGGCUAGACACGAUCGUCUGAGAAACUUGAUGACUCAGCGCGGCUCUUCAGGCAGACUGCCUCAGUAAGGUGUCUUGAAGAACUAAAGAAGUCUUCCAUAUUGACCAAUAAGCAACAGAGGUCACUUGAGGUAGAGACCCACCGAACCGACGCCAACGAAGAAGCGCAGACUGCGAGCUCUGCUCACAUUGCAAAAUACUUUUAUUUUUCUCAUAAAGCAUACAUCACAUGACUAACAUGCAUAUAUACAAAAGUGGUCACUAGGAGAGUACCUGUACCAUUUGGUACACAUAUGUACCUUUAAAGUAGUAACAGUAUUCCCUGUUUUAGGAUCAAAAGUGUACAUUUUGAAAAGGUACAGCUACAACUUUUGUACCUCCUUUUUGAGAGGGA
Molecule: long non-coding RNA, 664 nt
Organism: Misgurnus anguillicaudatus (oriental weatherfish)
Lineage: Eukaryota; Metazoa; Chordata; Actinopteri; Cypriniformes; Cobitidae
Source: RefSeq, a predicted model, not a curated record